Non-coding RNA from Camellia sinensis, 431 nucleotides. The record is from RefSeq and is a predicted model, not a curated record. NCBI's taxonomy places the organism in Eukaryota, Viridiplantae, Streptophyta, Magnoliopsida, Ericales, Theaceae.
UACAUUUUUUUAUUAUAUCUUCACUCUUUGCUCAAUUAUAAUCGGGAUUUCAUUUCCUCUCCACACCUCUCUCUCUCUCUCGCCUAAUUUCAUUGUUGAUUUCAUCCCUGCUCUCAGAGACUCUGAUCGGUGGUUUGUGGAUUUCGUCCCCGACAAUUCGAUCCCUAAUCUGAUCUCUCUCAACAGCUAUUUCAGCGAUUUCAAUCACAGGGGAACUCAAAGAAGAUAGCAAACAAAACUUUAAUGGUGAUAGUGAAGUGCAGCGGACGAUGCUGGAGCUUCUUAAUCAACUGGAUGGAUUUGAGCAUCUAACAAAAUCAAAGUCAUUUGAUGCUAGAGAGUAGAUGGAAGAUGAUCAAAACAUAGGAGAGAAAAGCUGCCUACAGCUAGCCAGAAUUUUGAAGCCUACAUGCAAGGACUUGGUAUAAAGG